RNAcentral lists this unclassified non-coding RNA (807 nucleotides) under Hevea brasiliensis (rubber tree). The record is from RNAcentral. Lineage: Eukaryota; Viridiplantae; Streptophyta; Magnoliopsida; Malpighiales; Euphorbiaceae.
AAGAGAUCCAUCCUACAGCAAUGUUCAGAUACCCAAUUCUUUCUCCUCCAAAGAAUUGCUUCCCUUUUGCUCUCCCUCUAUCUUUUGGAGCGCUUCAGUGGUCAAUUUUAUCGCUCUUUCUUUUUCAUCACCCAAGAAGCACAGGGCAUUCUAUGCAGCUUCCAUAAUCUUCGAGAAAAGGUAAUUAAGUAAUUAAAGAAAUGGAAUUUGGUUAUAAAUAUUUAAGCUAGCAAUUAACAAUAAUCACCUUCUCUUCCGCAAACUCAGCCCAGAAUCGGGCCUGGCCUCUUUCGCGAGGAUCUUGAGGCAGUAAUGGAUACUAGUACUUCCAUGUUUCGUCGAUGUACUCAAGAAUGACGAAGUACUCGAUUUCUUCCUGCGAACAAGCACCGGAACCUUCUUAUGGACAGUAUUUAAUUGAAUAAGCAAAGAUCUCUUGUUAAAGACGUCUUGUUCCAUAUGCACUCAUAAUCAAGACUCUUGAGUCUCAGAGCCCACUCUACUUUGCGUACAAAUGGGCUAACCGAUAGCCCCAAAAGCUCCACCAGGACCACCACCUCUUUGCUCGCCAUGAGAGACUCAGCUAUUUUUGUCUGAGCUGAUGAGUGAGGAAAACUAGCUAGUUCAGUGCUGUUUGUAUACGUCCUCCGUCACCUGAGAAACUCGGUGGAUGGAUGUGGGUGUUGACUAAAACCUUCAGCCGCAAAUAUGACUGCUAGCCCAAAUUAGGAUUAUCCAGCCAAACUCCUUCCACUGCAGCCCAACCUAACCAAAAUCUCAUAUUCUUUUAUUUUUUGUGGGGAAAAG